RNAcentral lists this ribosomal RNA (274 nucleotides) under uncultured bacterium. RNAcentral describes it as "partial 16S ribosomal RNA". It matches the Rfam family "Bacterial small subunit ribosomal RNA", at positions 523 to 796 of the family's 1533-position model. The record is from RNAcentral.
AUACGGAGGAUGCAAGCGUUACUCGGAAUCACUGGGCGUAAAGCGCGCGCAGGCGGCUUGGUAAGUUGGAUGUGAAAGCCUACGGCUCAACCGUAGAACUGCAUCCAAAACUGCCAAGCUAGAGUGUGGGAGAGGAAGAUGGAAUUAGUUGUGUAGGGGUAAAAUCCGUAGAGAUAACUAGGAAUACCAAAAGCGAAGGCAAUCUUCUGGAACACUACUGACGCUGAGGCGCGAAAGCGUGGGGAGCAAACAGGAUUAGAAACCCUAGUAGUCC